GGACCACUGACAGAAGAGACCAGCACAGGACUGGACAUGGACCACAGACUGAGGAUCAUCUGGAUGUCCUUCUGGGUCAGAGUGUGUCUCCUCUUCACCUCCUCUUUACCUGCUGCAGGAGUUCAGAUCAGACUGGUUGGUCCUGGUUCUACUCGGUGCUCUGGUAGGGUUGAGGUCUUCCAUGGUGGUACCUGGGGAACAGUCUGUGAUGAUGGAUGGGACUUAAAUGAUGCUCAGGUGGUUUGUAGACAGAUGAAC
Sphaeramia orbicularis (orbiculate cardinalfish) is the source of this 258-nucleotide long non-coding RNA. RefSeq lists it as uncharacterized. The record is from RefSeq and is a predicted model, not a curated record. Lineage: Eukaryota; Metazoa; Chordata; Actinopteri; Kurtiformes; Apogonidae. The transcript is spliced from 3 exons.